Long non-coding RNA from Ahaetulla prasina, 4526 nucleotides. RefSeq lists it as uncharacterized. The transcript is spliced from 4 exons. The record is from RefSeq and is a predicted model, not a curated record. NCBI's taxonomy places the organism in Eukaryota, Metazoa, Chordata, Lepidosauria, Squamata, Colubridae.
GCAGAGGAGAGGGAUAAUUGAAGGAAAAUGAAAAACAGGAUAGGGUAAUUUCCACUUUUAUGAGAACCACCAUCACUAUUAACUGGGUAUCAGUUCAUUUAGGAUAGUAUUUCUGUACGUGAAACAGAAUACGAUCAAGUGUACGAUAGGUAGUCCUCGACUUACAAUAAUUUGUUUAGUGAUCUUUUGAAGUUGCAGUGGCACUGAAAAAAGUGACUUAUGACUAUUUUUGACACUUUUGACUGUUGUAGUAUCCCCAUGGUCAUGUGAUAAAAAUUCAGAUGCUUGGCAACUGGUUCAUAUUUAUGAUGGUUGCAGUGUCCCAGGGUCAUGUGAUCACCUUUGCAACCUUCUGACAAGCAAAGUCAAUUCACUUAACAACUGCAGUAUUAACUUAGCAACUGCAGAGAUUCAUCUAAUGAUUGUGACAAGAAAGGGGGCAAAAAGGAGGCGUAAAAUGGAGCAAAAUUCACUUAACAAAUUUUCUCUUAGCAUCAUAAAUUUUGGGGUCAAUUGUGGUCGUACGUUGAGGACUAACUGUACUAGCAGAUUUGUCUACAAGGGUGUCCAACCUUGCAGCAUUGAAGACUUGAGGACUUCAACUCCCAGAAUUCCCCAAGGUUGAUAUAGAAGAAAUCAAGAUGACAGCUGUAACCAUGGGAAUGAAACCCUCCCCCCUCUUUUAUGUGUGUCACACAGAAGCCAUGUGAAAAAUGGCUGGGCUUCAAUCCCACAAUCACAGUUACCUUCUUGACUUUUGUGACACACACACACACUGCAGGUGCUAUGAUUGUGGAACGAUCUAUGAAAUAACGUCUGUCCUGGAAAUUCCAUGCAAACAGAAUCCUAAUAUAGAAAGGAGGAAAAAUUCUGCCCAGUAAUAAUUGCUGUGUUAUUUUAUGGGGUAAUUUGUGCUUUUCCUGUGUAUAUUCAUGUUUUCCCAUGUAUAUAUGGGAAAACUCUGAAAGGCAUGCCUCUUACCCAGGAUUACAUGAAUGAUUCUUAUGAGCUCAGCUACCUGUGCUUUGGUGGACCCCUCCUGCCAUAAAAACAAUAAUGGAAUAUUAUAAUGCAUAUAAUGAAAUCUGAUUUUCAACAUUUUCUUUGUGUUUGUUCAGAGAAAUGGGAACAGUAGGUAGUAGAGGCAUUAUUUUGUAAUAGCGAUCUGUUGUUGCCAAUUGUGUCUACCACCUCUGAUUUAAGAUACUAAAUUUUAGUAUUCACACUAUGCUUAUCGAUUAUGAAUAAGUUGGUUGGUUGGAGGUUCACAUUUUGGGCCCAAAAUGUAAACAUUACUUGCCUGACUUAUUAAAAAGCAUAAUUAUAAGAAGUUAUUUAAAAAGCAUGAAAAUCAAUAACUUAAUUUUCAUCUUUUAAAAAAAAGUAAUAAAAGAUGGGUGCCUGGUGUCUAUUAUGCCUAAAAGAGGUGUUGGUCCUAUUCCCUUCUGCAGUUUGGAAAAGUGCUAUUUAACAGCUCAAGUAUAGUGCUGUAGUUUUUAAUCUCCAAGACGCUACUUAGAAUAUGAUCUCUUCUAUCUAUUAUAGUUGAGUGAAGCCUUCUGUUUUACUUAGUCUCAGCUCUCCAACAACAUCUGAGUAUAAAUAACAUUAUCUUUCAUUCCCUAAUUACUACAAAGAUUAUAUAUGUGUGUGUGUAUGUAUAUAUAUAUUUGUUUUCUGAGGUUUUCGCAAGUGUUUGAAUGUAGGUCUUUGGUUAUUCGGGUUUUUUCCCGCGUAAAAUUGGAAGUGUUUUUUGAAGAACACAAGAACUCAGUGUUUUUUGAAGAACACAAGAACUCAGUCAAAAAAGAGGAACCCACUUCUUCCCUGGUCCAACAUCUCAAAGCCACAGGACAUGAUACUGACUUUAAAAAGACCAGAACUAUCGCCAAAACUGAACACUUUAACAACAGAAUAAUCAGAGAAGCCAUCGAGAUAGAAAAACGCCCACACAGCAUGGGUUUGGGUUUGUGAUCAGAUUUUUCUAGUGCUUGGGUUUCAAAGUGUUCCAUGUAGAGGUUGGCAAUGACACGUGAGAGGGGUGAUCCCAUGGGUGCUCCUUCUAUUUGUUUGUAUUUUUGUCCGUUAUAGAUGAAGUAUGUGUUGGACAGGCAGUGAUUGGUCAGAUCUAGGAUGUGCUUAGCCCCCACCCAAACAGGACACACCCCCAUCCAAUCAGAGCACACAAAAAAAAACCCCAGCCAAUCAGAGCACAGCCAAGCUCCCACCCAAUCAGUUCAAACCCCCACUAGCAGUUAAAAAGGAAGAAACAGCUGUAAUCACACAUUGCUUCCAGAAGCACGAAGCUGAAGCCUGAAGAUGACGAAUGAGACUUCGUCGAAACGUCGCCAAGACACUUCCAAUUUUACGCGGGAGAAAACCCGAAUAACCAAAGACCUACAUAUAUAUAGGCUAGUUUCCUAUUUCCACAGACUUCCAGGCCACCUGCAAUUGAAGUCAGGCAAAUUAAAAACACAGACCAAAUCAUACAAUGAAACUAUCAAGUUAAAUCCAAUAUUGGCCCAGAAUGACAAGAUGCACAGGGAAAAACUACUGUAGACUAAUUCUAUCAGAAUAAGAACACAAUAAUCCAUCACUGCCAGAAGAAGCUAACAUAAUAGCUCUGAUCAGUCUUGAGAUAAAGUAAAUUACUUUGGCUUUUUUUUUUUAAAAAAAAAGGCAUGCACUCAAAAGUUUUUUACAAAACCGUUGUAAUUAGUAUUAAUUCAUUCUCCGACCUAUGUAGAACCAGGAAGACUGUGCAAGCAGUAUGUCAUCCGUAGAAAAGAUGUUAUUCUACAAAUGUUGAGGGAAACAAGAGGAGCACAGAAGUUUAAAUUCUCCAGUAAACUGUCAAUUAUUUUGUAUUUGUAAGGCAAUAUACGGACUGUAUAGCCUGUAAAGCUUUCCAGCAGGCAUCUGCAGCUGAAUCAGGAGGGCACAUCUUUCUACAAAUGCUUGUUUUAAUGUGAUACCAUGCUGAUUUUCCACAGCUGUUCCAUUUACAUGAACCUAUCCAAGAAAAUUGUCUCCAUAAGGUUCUCAUUGCCUGUUUUUCAGGACAAGGGGUGGGGUCUAGAGUUAAGAUUGAUGGCCUGGCAACUAUUUAUUUUGCUUUUCAUGAGCUAUUUAAUAAUGGGUCAAAAGCAAUAAAGUGUGUGAACCAUCCUUCGUUGGAAAAGACAACUAGUUAAACUCCAAGCUCUCAUCCAGAACCAAACAGAUGGAUGAAGGCUUCAGCCUCCGACAGACUGCAGGUUGGAUCCAGAUUUAGAUACACCAAGCACACAUGACUGAAACCAAUGCCAUGAGUUGUCACACUUAGAACAAUUCUACUGAAAUCAGAAUCCAACUCAAGAUUUCUAUAGUAAUUAGGCACAAUUAUGCUGCCUGAAAUUUCAGAUAAUCCUAUACUCCAAUUUAUACAAACUUCAAUUGUCUUCAUGCUUUGGAUAUCAAUUUACAAAGGAUUAUUGAUAAUAUCAAGAGAUUAAAGGCUAGAUACAGAUUUUAUAAAUCCACAGGCAAGUUCUCUUAUUGCUUAGUUUUUUCCAAUUUAACCAGCUUGCUCUGCUGAUAAUAUUUUUAAAAACUGGGUUUAACUAAAUUACUCAAACCCCCAAAUCUGCUUUCUACACUUUUCCUAUACACAACAGGCAUUUCAGAUACUUAAGACAACCAUAUGUUCAUUUGUCUAAAUUCUACAUUAAAGACAAAAAGAUAAUUUAUAAACUGUACUAGUUACUAAAUGUAGUCAGGCAGAUGCUAGCAACCAUCUGACAGUCUGUGAACGUCAGACUGAAUCGGAGUUCUAACAUUCUAAUACAAACCAGAAACAAAACAACUCUUUGGGUGUCAGGCACAAGGGUAAUAAUGCAGACCCUCCCCCUUUGUAAAUAUGCUUUAACAAAAAGACCCAAAUUGAACAAUAUAAUAUAAUCUUGCAUAUUUUGCCUCCCAUAAAUAUUAUGGGGAAAUGUUCAAUUCUGUUAAUUUUGGAUCAUUUUAAAAGUAUCUUUUAAAUGUGUAAUUUAAGUUUGGGGUGCAUAAAUGUCUCCUAGGAAUGUUAUGACCACUGACGUGGCUAUAAACACUGCAUUGCUAGUCACAAGGCAAACAACUAGGUCUAGUAUAAUUGCAAUGCGAUCCAGAUUAUAGUUAAAUAUUCUUAAAAUUGAUAUGUACUUCCACUUUUCAGUAUCCCUGAGCCAGCAUGGUCAUUUCAAUAUAGGCUUGUAUUCAGGGUAGGGGAAGCCCACUUACUCCAACCCCCAAAGCUUGCUUUACUGUAAAUGCAAACACAGGUCACAGAUUCCUGUAACACUAGCACCUCAGUACGUAAGAUUCAAAUUCAUGAAUUAACAUUCAGUUUGUAAAAACUAGCAUAUACUUUUCUUCCCUACCCCCAAGGUUUCUAAUUAAGCAUAGUUUAAUUAUAAUGACUCUUUCUCUUAUCUCUCCAAAGCCUGCUUUUAAAACACAUUGAAAUAGAACCUAUAACAGAGAGGAUUAUUUUUAAAAAAACC